AAAUGAAUGCCCAGUAUGAGAAACAACCAGCACUCUGAGAAAAUCAUUGGACAACAAUAGCACUUCAAAAAAUAUUUUGGGUCUACUUCAAGCUAUCAAGUUUCUAGUACAAAUAGUUGCAAAAAAUGUACUUAAUUUACACCUCAAGGCGUUCACUUUGGCCACUGUCAGAGGUAGGAUGCUCAGCUGGAUGCACCUUUGUUUGAUCCAACUGCUUCUCAUUCAGAACCAAUGGGAAAAAGACUUCAAUGAUACUUUACUGGACGGUAUCCCAGCUGAAACACAUAGGAGAUGCAUAGACUGCAAGACUCAGCUGGUGUAAGGAUGUGAGCUCAUGAGCAAUUUAUCACUAAGUUAGCUUGGGCAACCAUUUCCUUUUCCUCAUGAUAAAUGUAAAGUAACAGUACUCCAAGAAUGGUUACUAUGCCAAGGUAAGGUUUUCCAAGUGGGUACGAUCAGACUCCAGUAACAGCUCUCACACCUGCAGCCAGCGCAGAGCCUGGCCUCAAGAGUGGAUGUGUAACUGCACCACUGCAACUGAAGCCACCGAGAAAUCAGCAUCUGAGGGAUUCCAAAACCUUUCGAAUGGCACAGAAAUGAGUGCAAUUGCAUUCACUCAAGCUCUAAGCAUCUGGAAGCAGGUAUUUUUACUUCAGGGAAACUAUGCAGUUCUCAAUCAUCACUUUUUCUUUCUUUCUUUUUUUUUUUUAAAUCUCCCUAUAAGCUGGUUAUGAUUGAAUGCAUAAGGCCUCCUAGGAAAAGACAUCACUUUUGAGUUACAGAGGCACUUAUCAAAAUUGUCAGUAUUAAGGUUCUGUCCAUGAUAUACCAAUUUUCCCGAGGAGAAGAGUAUAUCUGAAUAUUCAGCUGAUUUUAUUCAAUCAGUUCUCUUAGGCCGUGCUCACAUCCUUUGGGGUAUUUGAUUUUCAUGAACAUUUGAGUGACUAACUUAUUGGUAUGCACGUUUGUGUAAAGUUAAUUUCAAAGUACUAUGCACCAGUAUUUGCAGAAGGAAAGUAAAAUCCACACACGAAAGCAUUUGUGCUGGAAGGGCUUACUGCUGUGGGACUUAUCUGAUUUACCACAAAAUCCCAACCUCCAGCAGUCAAUAGCUACUGAACUACUCAUGA
Long non-coding RNA from Struthio camelus australis, 1130 nucleotides. RefSeq lists it as uncharacterized. The record is from RefSeq and is a predicted model, not a curated record. NCBI's taxonomy places the organism in Eukaryota, Metazoa, Chordata, Aves, Struthioniformes, Struthionidae.